GAACGCAUCCGUGGGGAUUAGUGGCGAACGGGUGAGUAACACGUGGGCAAUCUGCCCUGCACUCUGGGACAAGCCCUGGAAACGGGGUCUAAUACCGGAUACUGAUCCUCGCAGGCAUCUGCGAGGUUCGAAAGCUCCGGCGGUGCAGGAUGAGCCCGCGGCCUAUCAGCUAUUUGGUGAGGUAACGGCUCACCAAGGCAACAACUGGUAGCCGGCCUGAAAGGGCGACCGGCCACACUGGGACUGAAACACGGCCCAAACUCCUACGGGAGGCAGCAGUGGGGAAUAUUGCACAAUGGGCGAAAGCCUGAUGCACCGACCCCCCGUGAGGGAUGACGGCCUUCGGGUUGUAAACCUCUUUCUGCAGGGAAAAAACGAAAGUGACGGUACCUGCAGAACAAGCGCCGGCUAACUACGUGCCAGCAGCCGCGGUAAUACGUAGGGCGCAAGCGUUGUCCGGAAUUAUUGGGCGUAAAGAGCUCGUAUGCGGCUUGUCACGUCGGUUGUGAAAGCCCGGGGCUUAACCCCGGGUCUGCAGUCCAUACGGGCA
RNAcentral lists this ribosomal RNA (550 nucleotides) under Streptomyces enissocaesilis. RNAcentral describes it as "bacterial SSU rRNA". It matches the Rfam family "Bacterial small subunit ribosomal RNA", at positions 64 to 638 of the family's 1533-position model. The record is from RNAcentral. Lineage: Bacteria; Bacillati; Actinomycetota; Actinomycetes; Kitasatosporales; Streptomycetaceae.